Molecule: non-coding RNA, 539 nt
Organism: Heterocephalus glaber (naked mole-rat)
Lineage: Eukaryota; Metazoa; Chordata; Mammalia; Rodentia; Bathyergidae
Source: RefSeq, a predicted model, not a curated record
GCCAGUCUCAUACUGAGCCAGACAACAGAGAGUGGCCGUGAGACUUCGUUCUUGUGGACAGAGGACAAGAGAAAAGCAAGGAGCCUGGGGCUGUUUUCAUCCCCAGAAUAUUUUAUCUUGUUCAACUAUUCUGAAGGCUGAACAGCAGGUGAUAAAUAACAACUUCAGUCGUGAUUAAUACCAUGAAUCCUUCAACCUGACUAAUGCAAAAGAACUUGAGACCUACAGAACAAGUGGGUGAUAAUUGUUGUGAGAACUGUUGAAGCUCUGCUCAGCUUGUGAGAGAAGAAAUCCACAGGAAAUGAGGCGUUAGCCAGCAGUCCAGCUGAUCCUCCAAGGCUUCAUUAAGCCCAUCUCAGCGACAUUCGCCUCCGUUUGACUACUAGUGCUAGGUUUUCUCACUCCCAACACUUAAGUUUUAAGUAUCUUGAGAAAAGAAAGGACUAACUCACCUUUGCAUACAUUUAAAUAUUUAUUAAAUGAAUGACUGAAUAAUAAAUGAGGAAAUAUAUUUUUUGCCUAAGUAGUAGGCCUUCUAA